This 251-nucleotide ribosomal RNA is filed under the name uncultured bacterium. Its description in RNAcentral is "partial 16S ribosomal RNA". It matches the Rfam family "Bacterial small subunit ribosomal RNA", at positions 524 to 774 of the family's 1533-position model. The record is from RNAcentral.
UACAGAGGGUGCGAGCGUUAAUCGGAAUUACUGGGCGUAAAGCGUGCGUAGACGGUUUUGUAAGUCGGAUGUGAAAUCCCCGGGCUCAACCUGGGAAUUGCAUUCGAGACUGCAAGGCUUGGGUGCGGAAGAGGGAAGCGGAAUUUCCGGUGUAGCGGUGAAAUGCGUAGAUAUCGGAAGGAACAUCAGUGGCGAAAGCGGCUUCCUGGUCCAGCACCGACGUUCAGGCACGAAAGCGUGGGGAGCAAACA